GACGAACGCUGGCGGCGUGCCUAAUACAUGCAAGUUGAGCGAUGAAGAUUGGUGCUUGCACCAAUUUGAAGAGCAGCGAACGGGUGAGUAACGCGUGGGGAAUCUGCCUUUGAGCGGGGGACAACAUUUGGAAACGAAUGCUAAUACCGCAUAACAACUUUAAACAUAAGUUUUAAGUUUGAAAGAUGCAAUUGCAUCACUCAAAGAUGAUCCCGCGUUGUAUUAGCUAGUUGGUGAGGUAAAGGCUCACCAAGGCGAUGAUACAUAGCCGACCUGAGAGGGUGAUCGGCCACAGUGGGACUGAGACACGGCCCAAACUCCUACGGGAGGCAGCAGUAGGGAAUCUUCGGCAAUGGACGAAAGUCUGACCGAGCAACGCCGCGUGAGUGAAGAAGGUUUUCGGAUCGUAAAACUCUGUUGGUAGAGAAGAACGUUGGUGAGAGUGGAAAGCUCAUCAAGUGACGGUAACUUCCCAGAAAGGGACGGCUAACUACGUG
This 497-nucleotide ribosomal RNA is filed under the name uncultured bacterium. Its description in RNAcentral is "partial 16S ribosomal RNA". It matches the Rfam family "Bacterial small subunit ribosomal RNA", at positions 28 to 507 of the family's 1533-position model. The record is from RNAcentral.